This is a long non-coding RNA of Drosophila miranda, 1626 nucleotides long. RefSeq lists it as uncharacterized. Lineage: Eukaryota; Metazoa; Arthropoda; Insecta; Diptera; Drosophilidae. The transcript is spliced from 2 exons. The record is from RefSeq and is a predicted model, not a curated record.
GCUUCGAUAUGCAAUUUUUCUGCCAUGCACUAUAUUUUAUUAAAUAUUGCUGUGUCUGGAUUCUGUAUAACAGAAGAAGACCAUAGAAAGUGUGGAAAAAACGUGGGUUGCUGUACUUAGUCGCCCCAGCCUCUUUCUUUUUCUCCUCGUGACCGUCAGAGUGACCGGCAGUGGAAAAAGAAGUCUUGUAGAGCUGACCCAGCUCUAUAAACCAAGGUCAAGCCAAAGUCAAAGCCUAGUGCAAGUGCCAAGUGCGGCUCAAAGUGAUCAUUUAAUUUAGUGGACGCGCCAGUUAUAUAUUGCCAAGGCUGGGGCAGCCGUUCGACCAUUUGGGAAAACGAGCGCCCACAGUGUACUAAAAUAUUUCGAAACAGUGGUGCAAUUCUGUUGAGGAUUAGCACCACUAGUAUCUACGUAUUGAAACGCUGGUCUAGAAGUUACGGAUUGGUUAUUCCCGGAGACCUCUAUUGGACACGUGCCCGUACCACCGGUUAAACCCCACCGUUUGACAUUCGGAUGAGGCGGUAGCCGAGGGCAUGGACUUGCUCCUCCAGUAAACCCGAUCGGUGGGCUCUGCAAGCGUCGCCGGGACCCGUUCGACCCAUGGGGAUGAUCUGACUGACUCUUCAAAUACACCAGUCGCCCCACGAGCCAUCAAGUGUGCGGGUGUACCUAACCUCACGCCGCAGAUGGACCGCGGUCAUUGACCCUUGGCAUCGGAAGCAGCAGAAUUUACCGGCGCCCGGUACAAUCGUGUGCCACCUUCAGACCUCGAGUAGGAACUCGGUCUCCAGCCGGGAAGCAUCGACCCCGCCUCGGAUUUAGUUAUAUUUUCUAUCUUUCUUUCGACAUUAGACCCGAUAUGCGAAACCCUGUUUUUUUAUCCGCUUUCUGUUUAACUACGUUCUUUUGAUACGGAAAAAAUUUGCAACGGCCAAUUAAAUCCGGUAUAAACAAAAAGGGAAUUCCUAUCCAUGGGCUAAAUCGAACUUGAACAAAUGAGUAGUGUAUUAAUACCGAUUAUUUUUACAGUUUUUUGAUUUUGGUUGCCACGCAUUCAUCUCAUCAUCUAUGCAGAUACUCAUCACAAUCACACACAUCAUCAUACUCCUCCACCCAUCAAAUCAUCUCAUCCAACACACAACGAAAGAUCUUUCUGCGUGGGAGUCAAAGCUAUUAAUCGUAUCGUAAGUGAUUAUCCUGAACCAAGUAAGCCAUCGGAAAAGAAUAAAUGUGCGGUGACUAUUCGUUGGUCUUCAACCAUGAUCACGGUCUUAUACACAUAUUACUCAUGCCUUUAAGCGGUUUUCCAUAUACCCUAUUUUUGUCUGGUUUUGGCACUGACCAAGUUUACGUAAUGAAGUUUGAAGUUUUCUUGUUCCUAUGAUGAAUACAUAACCUAGCUCGUGCAUUUAUAUAUACCUACUACUAAUCAUUUUUAUAGAUUUAAGAUCAUUAUACCCUACCUCGCCCCUAUGAUAUUUUUUCAACAGUAUAUGCUGUAUAGUAAUACCCUAUAAAUGUAAGACAAUAUCGAAUAGCAGGCUUAUAUUAGGGACUAAAUUUAAAUUAGGGAUUUAAAUGAAUAACUAUGGAUUGCUUAAAUAAAGUUAGUUUGGAAAUGAA